GACGAACGCUGGCGGCGUGCUUAACACAUGCAAGUCGAACGGAACGGCCCUCCUGGCUGGGUACUCGAGAGGCGAACGGGUGAGUAACACGUGGGUGAUCUGCGCUGCACUUAGGUGUACGCCUGGGGGACUGGGUCUAAGACCGCAGAUGCGCCUACCGCAGUAUGACAGGUGGAGAGAUCUCUCGGUGUAGGAUAAGCUCGCGGCACAUCAGCGUGUUGGUGGGGUAAUGGCCUACGAAGGCGGAGGCGGCUAGCCGGCCUGAGAGGGUGGACGGCAACAGUGGGACUGGGACACGGACCAGACUCCUACGGCAGGCAGCAGUAGGGGAUAGUGAUAAAUGGGCGCAAGCCUGAUGCAGCGGCGCCGCGUGGGGGAUGACGGCCUACGGGUUGUGAACGCCUUUCGCUAGGGACGAAGCUGUUUGUGACGGUACCUAGAGAAGAAGCACCGGCUAACUACGUG
RNAcentral lists this ribosomal RNA (465 nucleotides) under uncultured bacterium. RNAcentral describes it as "partial 16S ribosomal RNA". It matches the Rfam family "Bacterial small subunit ribosomal RNA", at positions 28 to 507 of the family's 1533-position model. The record is from RNAcentral.